Molecule: long non-coding RNA, 263 nt
Organism: Bos taurus (domestic cattle)
Lineage: Eukaryota; Metazoa; Chordata; Mammalia; Artiodactyla; Bovidae
Source: Ensembl
GACUUGGGAAGGAGGAGGCACAGGAGAAGGCUAUGAUCAGAGGGCAGGAGAUGGCAGUACCAGUAAGAAGGCGGCUAUAGUAACCCAGGUUUCUCAAGAGGCAGGUCAGGUGGUCUGGUAUGCCCAUCUCUUUCAGAAAUUUCCACAGAGCCUGGAAGCCAGUUAAUGAGCUCAUGUGCCACAACUACUGAAGCCUGCUUGCAACAAGCUUCAAGCAACAAAACCCAUGCUCUGCAACAAGCUAAGUCGCUUCAGUCGUGUCC